Molecule: ribosomal RNA, 465 nt
Filed under: Vreelandella stevensii
Lineage: Bacteria; Pseudomonadati; Pseudomonadota; Gammaproteobacteria; Oceanospirillales; Halomonadaceae
Description: partial 16S ribosomal RNA
Rfam family: Bacterial small subunit ribosomal RNA
Source: RNAcentral
CCUACGGGGGGCAGCAGUGGGGAAUAUUGGACAAUGGGCGAAAGCCUGAUCCAGCCAUGCCGCGUGUGUGAAGAAGGCCUUCGGGUUGUAAAGCACUUUCAGUGGGGAAGAAAGCCUUGGGGCUAAUACCCUCGAGGAAGGACAUCACCCACAGAAGAAGCACCGGCUAACUCCGUGCCAGCAGCCGCGGUAAUACGGAGGGUGCGAGCGUUAAUCGGAAUUACUGGGCGUAAAGAGCGCGUAGGCGGUCUGAUAAGCCGGUUGUGAAAGCCCCGGGCUCAACCUGGGAACGGCAUCCGGAACUGUCAGGCUAGAGUGCAGGAGAGGAAGGUAGAAUUCCCGGUGUAGCGGUGAAAUGCGUAGAGAUCGGGAGGAAUACCAGUGGCGAAGGCGGCCUUCUGGACUGACACUGACGCUGAGGUGCGAAAGCGUGGGUAGCAAACAGGAUUAGAUACCCCAGUAGUC